Regulatory RNA element from Clostridium perfringens str. 13, 100 nucleotides. It matches the Rfam family "Purine riboswitch aptamer". From Rfam's summary of the family: Riboswitches are metabolite binding domains within certain messenger RNAs that serve as precision sensors for their corresponding targets. Allosteric rearrangement of mRNA structure is mediated by ligand binding, and this results in modulation of gene expression. A class of riboswitches that selectively recognises guanine and becomes saturated at concentrations as low as 5 nM. The record is from Rfam. NCBI's taxonomy places the organism in Bacteria, Bacillati, Bacillota, Clostridia, Eubacteriales, Clostridiaceae.
AUAAAAAAAUAAAUUUUGCUUCGUAUAACUCUAAUGAUAUGGAUUAGAGGUCUCUACCAAGAACCGAGAAUUCUUGAUUACGAAGAAAGCUUAUUUGCUU